RNAcentral lists this ribosomal RNA (506 nucleotides) under uncultured bacterium. RNAcentral describes it as "partial 16S ribosomal RNA". It matches the Rfam family "Bacterial small subunit ribosomal RNA", at positions 29 to 523 of the family's 1533-position model. The record is from RNAcentral.
AGUGAACGCUGGCGGUAGGCCUAACACAUGCAAGUCGAACGGCAGCACAGAGGAGCUUGCUCCUUGGGUGGCGAGUGGCGGACGGGUGAGGAAUACAUCGGAAUCUAGUCUGUCGUGGGGGAUAACGUAGGGAAACUUACGCUAAUACCGCAUACGACCUACGGGUGAAAGCAGGGGAUCUUCGGACCUUGCGGGAUUGAAUGAGCCGAUGUCGGAUUAGCUAGUUGGCGGGGUAAAGGCGCACCAAGGCGACGAGCCGUAGCUGGUCUGAGAGGAUGAUCAGCCACACUGGAACUGAGACACGGUCCAGACUCCUACGGGAGGCAGCAGUGGGGAAUAUUGGACAAUGGGCGCAAGCCUGAUCCAGCCAUACCGCGUGGGUGAAGAAGGCCUUCGGGUUGUAAAGCCCUUUUGUUGGGAAAGAAAUCCAUCUGGUUAAUACCCGGGUGGGAUGACGGUACCCAGAGAAUAAGCACCGGCUAACUUCGUGCCAGCCGCCGCGGUAA